GAUGAACGCUAGCGGCAGGCCUAAUACAUGCAAGACGAACGGUAAGUUGAGUAGCAAUACUUAGCCAAGAGUGUCGUACGGGUGCGUAACACGUAUGCAACCUACCCUAUACAGGAGGAUAGCCUAGGGAAACCUGGAUUAACCCUUCAUAGUAUUAUUGGAUGGCAUCAUUUGAUAAUUAAAACUGAGGUGGUAUAGGAUGGGCAUGCGUCUGAUUAGUUAGUUGGCGGGGUAAUGGCCCACCAAGACGAUGAUCAGUAGGGGUUCUGGGAGGAAGAUCCCCCACACUGGCACUGAGAUACGGGCCAGACUCCUACGGGAGGCAGCAGUAGGGAAUAUUGGUCAAUGGAUGCAAGUCUGAACCAGCCAUGCCGCGUGCAGGAAGAAAGGCCCUUCUGGGUUGUAAACUGCUUUUGCCAGGGGAUAAAAUUUCCAUGCGUGGAAAACUGAAGGUACCUGGUGAAUAAGCCACGGCUAAACUACGUGCCAGCAGCCGCGGU
RNAcentral lists this ribosomal RNA (500 nucleotides) under uncultured bacterium. RNAcentral describes it as "bacterial SSU rRNA". It matches the Rfam family "Bacterial small subunit ribosomal RNA", at positions 28 to 521 of the family's 1533-position model. The record is from RNAcentral.